Molecule: ribosomal RNA, 292 nt
Filed under: uncultured bacterium
Lineage: Bacteria
Description: partial 16S ribosomal RNA
Source: RNAcentral
GGACUACUGGGGUUUCUAAUCCUGUUUGCUCCCCACGCUUUCGCACCUCAGCGUCAGUAUCGGCCCAGGUCUCCGCCUUCGCCACUGGUGUUCCUCCCGAUAUCUACGAAUUUCACCUCUACACCGGGAAUUCCGAGACCCUCUUCCGUACUCAAGCCCGCCAGUUUCGGAUGCACUUCCUCGGUUAAGCCGAGGGCUUUCACAUCCGACAUAGCGAACCGCCUACGUGCGCUUUACGCCCAAUGAUUCCGAGCAACGUUUGCACCCUCCGUAUUACCGCGGCGGCUGGCAC